Molecule: long non-coding RNA, 5199 nt
Organism: Doryrhamphus excisus (bluestripe pipefish)
Lineage: Eukaryota; Metazoa; Chordata; Actinopteri; Syngnathiformes; Syngnathidae
Source: RefSeq, a predicted model, not a curated record
UUCGACCACCACAUAAUAAACACGGAAAACCAUUGGACUUUUCGUCAUGUACCUGAAGGCAACAUUUGAUUAGAUGACCACGCGGGGCCUUUCAGUUAGUGUGCUUUAUAUGCCGAUUUUACAGUAGACCCACCGGGACGUUUUUUAAACCCAAACGUGCCCACCGAAACAUGCUUUUAAUGCUAACGCGCCCACACACAUACGCACGUCAUUGCCAAGCUAAUGUAAAAAGCCACAUUUACCUAAAUCAUCCAUGUUGGCCGGUCAAUGCUGUGAGAACCGCAAUGUUCCCGCUCCGUCGAGCACAGCUUGGACUGCCCGCGCCGAUGUCGCGUCCGCUCGGCCGACGUGCUGGCAAAAUGCGUUGAAGUUUUCAAGUUGCCCUCUCGCUCGGCGAGCUUCGAACACACUCCCGAGCACACUCAUCGCCAGACACCCCAGGCAGAGAGGAGUCUCCGGGAAGAUCCAACCCCCCUGCCUGCUCCCCGCCGGCCUUCGGUCCACGAGUGAACACAAGUCUGCCGACGCCAUCUUGUGGCAGAAUAAUUACGGACACCUGAGUGACAGUAAAGUGUGAGAUGGAUGAGAGCUCGCGGGGAGGAGGAAGACCGCAAUGGUUUGCAGUUGCCCCGUCCCAGCAUGCUCUUCGGCAGGAUCUAACCAUGGAAACAGAGCAGGUAUUCAUCCUUCUGAGGAGCUGUGGUCACUUGAAUAAUGGAUAUGGGGAAGCUGUGGGAGGAAGCAGCGAACACGGCAGAGGCUAACGUCACAUCGUUCUUAUCCAGGAACUCUGCAGGAGGAACACACAUCAGCUCAGACAGGUAUGAGUGACCUAGCAAUACUAGAAGUGUGACGCAUGACCAACCUUCUAACACAUACUGCUUCAUCUCAAUUUCAUAAAACUUGUUGGUGCCAAUGAUGACACUGUAGCCUGUAAAGUGAAUGCAGCUACAGGGCUCUGAGGUCUCAAUCUCCUGCAAACACAAUCAACAGUCGCAAUCAAUAACGCCCAUUUUCUUGCCUUUACUUGAGCUUUGCCACUCACCUUUCUGAUGCAGAACUUGUUGAGGCUUUCAUUAAGUCGCAGGAUUGUAAUCUUAUUAGGCAUAGCAGCACAAAUACAGAUUCCAUUGUCAAUCUGUGGAGAAGAGGAAAAAAACGACAGCUUCUCAACUCUCUUCAAUUGGAUAACUUUACUGUACAUAUCCCUUAUGAAAAAUGUAAAGUAACUGGCCUUUCCAGAGGAGAAGAGGUGGCAGCCUUUGACUGUCUCAAAGAUGAAGGGGCUGAGGUCAGGCGGAGCUGGGAGAUGAGACUGCGACAAAGACUGUUUGACCUUUUUGAUCUCCACCAAGCACAGGGCCCGAUCCUCUCCUGAAAGGCACAUUUUCAUGGUUUUGACUCACUUUUAGAUAAUGCAUCGUGGCCAAUUAUGCAAAUUUGACAAUUACACUAUUAUGUCAUGCCCCCCACCCAAAUAGACUGCGGUCUUGUGGGAAACAGUGAAAAGAAAAGAUACAUGACUCACCAUUGAGUAGUUGUAAAAAAAAAAAAAAGCCUUCAUUCACUCACCAGUAAUCAUCAACAGCUUGUCAAGCUCCCUCAGGAUCUGAAUCUGGAACACGGAGGUCAGGCCCGGAAUAUGGGUCAAAGAGUUCUUGAUAACGUUCAGAGCGUACAAGCCCUCCUCAGAGCCCACCAGCACGAGCUAAGGAGAAUGACGAUGACAGUCAUUGACGCGAAACCUGCAGCCGUUAAUUCCGCUCAAAAUAAAUGCUAAUGUGUGCGUUUGAACCUGGUCAGUGAGAGGCAGAGUGCAGUUGAUGUCCAAGCGGUCGUCACCCUCCAACUUCAGCAAGGAAUUGCCCAGAAGUUUCUAUAAGGACACCAAAGAUACGAAAGGAGGGAAAGUCAGGCAGGCUAUCGGCACAUCCAAAGCUUGAGGCCAAGAGUGACAGCCAGUUGCCUAAUUUCUCAAUUAAGAAUAUAAAGGAAAAGCUACUAGAUAAGUAUGUAGCCUAAACAGAAAGUCCCAUUUUACACACACUGCUGAUAUUAGCAAUUAUACUGGAUAUUUGUACUUUAUGCAAACACAGUGUUUGUUGCCAACUUGCAUGUUUCAGUAUUUCAAGCUGGUUUGUGGCCAGAUAAUGUUUCUCUGGUUAAUCCCAAAGCUUUAUAGCUGCAUAUAUAAUAGCAAUAACAGGAAAGGAAUCAAUGCAUGCUGUAAUGUGGACAGUUGAAGUGUUGGAGGUAAAUGUAUGUAAAUCCUCUUAUCUGUCUUUAUAUAGUUCCACUUAUAGGAAAUGUCAACCAAGCUUAAAUUAGCUGCAUCCUGCAAAUCUCUGCCACUGUCUGCUGAAAGACAUUCUGAGUUUAGAUGAACAUAUUUGUAUUUGAAAAGAAUGUUGAUCAUUUAUAUACUGAUUUCAUUUGGCUGUUUUUUGUUUUUUUUGCUAAGAGUGCACUUGUUUAGAUUUAGUUGUACAAAAUAUGGUAUAUCACAAUCUAAGACACACACAACAGAGCAGAAUUGUAUAGCUGAGGGCUGUGAGGAAUCUCCAGAAUUGAUUGGCCUGCCUGGCUGAAAGUCACAACUUCAUUUAAACUGUUUCCCCAAAAAUACAAUACAUUCAUAACAUGAAAAUAGUAUGAAGGCUUCAUCAAUGAAAAACAGCUGCACUGUUAGCAGUUCCAUUGGAACAAAAUUACAUUCAAAUUCAGACAUACUACGUCGAGUAAAUGAUGGUGGUUGCAUCCAAUUGGGUAAAUCCCAGUUCCACAAGAUUAACGGGUGGCUCAUCAUUCUUAAUUUGUUUCUUUCGGCGUUUUCCUGAUUUUGGAGUCGCCACAGUGGAUAUUAACAUUUUUCAUUGAACUUAUUUGCGUCUUUGACACUGUUUACGGUCUCACUACUCUUUAAAAAUAUUCUUACCGAAGGCGCCAUCAGGUAUUACUGUAUGUGUGUGUGUGGUUUCCAUGAAAAAGCUGAAGCAGCGCAUGGCUCUUGCAGCAACAUGCACAACACAGCAUCGUGUAGGCCAAAGGUGCAAAGAUGAGCCAAUUCGGACCCAUGCAUGGUGCAUGACAUAUUUUGGGUGUACGUUACUAUGGAACCAUUUGAAAUGAUUAGUUCUGUGUUACCCAGCACAGAACAGCGAUAGUGUUCUACGUGUGGACGGAUACAGCAACUACAUGCUCAGCCAGUUGGUCAUUGAAGCCCAAGCGUUCGUGCAGCUUCUUACUGUACCUGAACCAGAGGUGAUAGGUUCUUCUGUCUUUUAGAAACACCUGCCUAUAAUAGUCCAGACGACCGUGUUGAAUGGAGGUACACACACACACAUUUUAGAAUCACAUCACAACAAGGACGAUGACAACACACAAAUACAAGACAUGGUUGUUGAGAACAUGCAGAGAAAGAGAAAAGAGGAAAGGGGAGAACAACAAAUGAAGGCACCGGCUGAUGUUCAUGGCGGCAUUCAAUAUAUUUCAGCUAGUUUUCACAAGAAACAAUACACACAACCCUUGGGUUACAUUGCAGUUCCACAUGGGCCUAACACCUAAAACUCUUAUCCUUUUUUAAAAGCUACAAACUACAUAAAAAUACGACUAAAAUGCACUUACAGCAUCAGUAUCUCCUUUGUCUUUAGAGCCACGGUUACAAGCCACCACAGACUCCAGCACAGCCACCCAGCGCUGUUUGUCUGGGAAGCUGGGAGCCAUGAAGUAGAGAGACUGGCCUGGCCAACAAGUCGUGUGAGGAUGGGAUUCCAGCUUCAGAACAUAAGGGAUAUCUGUGUGAACACGCACACAAUACAUAUUUUGCAUAGUUUAGUAUCAUAAGUAAUGCUGACAACAGCGGAUUGAUAGUUGAUUGACACCUGAUUUUGCAGUGUUGAUGAGCUCAGAGGCUCCAACAGCUCCAUGAACGGUCACCUCUCCAUCAGGUAGGCAUAGCUCAAACUCCUCCUCUGCAUUCACGCAGUCUAAAAAGAAGACAUCACAUCAUUUGCACUAGUCACUGCUGUAUUGUUUUGAUGUUGGAAGUGAUCCCAAAUGUGGAAAUAGUGACCUUCUCUGGGCUCUGUAUCAUAGAUUGAUAUUUUGGUUCCAUCAAGAACCACAUACUUUCUCUCCCAGCCCUGCUGACCACGCUUGCCAUUUCUAUGUGAAGAAAGACAGAAAAGACCAUUUAAGAGUAGAGUAUCAGACACUACAAGGCCAGGAUGUCAGGACGAGUGAAUUAUUAACCUGGGCUGCUUCAUCCAUCCUUCCAAGCGGACAUGACCGCUGGCUUCCUUGACCUGUAGUCCAGGGGAGCUUGCCUUCUCUCUGCAUAAAGCCUCAGAAAAGUGGGUGGCAUAUUCGGCUGGCAGCCCACAAGUGGCUGGAAGGCAUGGUGAGCAUUUGGGAUGACAAAGCGUGUUACACUCUAUAAGCAGAUAAAGAAAAAAGUCAGUCAGACUAGCAUUCAUUUAACAAUCUUUACAAUGUAAACAUUACUUAUAGAACAACUGAGAGAGACGGACCACAAAUGUCCUCAAAGAGAAAAUCAUAUUCUGCAGAUUACAGGCUGCAAGUAAACGAGUAAUGUUACAUUUUUUAAGUUAUAGUUAUCUGAAUAACUGUUAAUGUUAUGUUAACAUACCACCGAUUCAUGCUAUGUUAACAGAUGCCUAUUUGGCCCGUGGAUCUCUAUUUUAUUGUUACGAUAACUUCUAUAACUUUCAAGAUGAAAUGUCUGUUCCUGGUCUCUGAUUUUAUAAAGAUGUAUUUCCCCACAAAAAUGCAACUUGUUGUGGAGUGCAACUUAUAUACGCAGUAUAUAGUUUUCUCUUCUUCAUAGUGCAUUUUUGCCUGGUGUGACUUAUUCUCUGGAAUGACUUAGCGUCCGGAAUAUACAGUAUUUUUACACUAUAAUGUUUCCAGGAAUGUUUUAAAAAAAAAUAAAAAUGACAUAAAAAGCCCACAUUGCAAAAAGCUAAAAUUAGAUGACUCUCUUUUUCAUGUAAGAUUAAAUGUGGAGGAUCUAUUUCAAAGCCUAUUGUUGAGGUUUUUUGAAGACCGGCCAAUAAAUCCCUUUCUGAAAUACCAUCGGUUGUGUGCGACCACAGGACACAGACCUAGACAAGUGGCAGCCUGCCGUCCAAAAUGCACGGUGUCCAGGCAGACGGCACAUUUGGCAGCCCUCAUGUUGAG